GAUGAACGCUGGCGGCGUGCCUAACACAUGCAAGUCGAGCGAUUCUCUUCGGAGAAGAGCGGCGGACGGGUGAGUAACGCGUGGGUAACCUGCCCUGUACACACGGAUAACAUACCGAAAGGUAUGCUAAUACGAGAUAAUAUACUUUUAUCGCAUGGUAGAAGUAUCAAAGCUCCGGCGGUACAGGAUGGACCCGCGUCUGAUUAGCUAGUUGAUAAGGUACGCCUACCAAGGCGACGAUCAGUAGCCGACCUGAGAGGGUGGUCGGCCAUAUUGGAACUGAGACACGGUCCAAACUCCUACGGGAGGCAGCAGUGGGGAAUAUUGCACAAUGGGCGAAAGCCUGAUGCAGCAACGCCGCGUGAGCGAUGAAGGCCUUCGGGUCGUAAAGCUCUGUCCUCAAGGAAGAUAAUGACGGUACUUGAGGAGGAAGCCCC
Molecule: ribosomal RNA, 437 nt
Filed under: uncultured bacterium
Lineage: Bacteria
Description: bacterial SSU rRNA
Rfam family: Bacterial small subunit ribosomal RNA
Source: RNAcentral